UCAGGAGGCAGAGACAGGUGCAUCUCGGUGAAUUUGAGGCCAGCCUGGUCUACAGAGAGAGUUCCAGGACAGCCAGGGCUGUUACACAGAGAAAACCUGUCUCAAAAAAACAAAAACAAAAACAAAAGUUGACUUUAGCAGACACAAUAAAACAAAAGACACUCCCAGCAUGGAGCUGCCUGUGAAGGCUGUUACUUGCCAACAACAGGAACCAAUUCUGGAGGCCAGAGAGCAGACCCAGCGGGUUCGGCCUGACCUGGGUGUGUCCACCAGGCCAUCUCUGCUGCCAAGUGCACGGUCACCUCUCAGUACUUCUAGAGUUGUCACCAACCGGCCUCCUCCACGCUGCCUUCCACACAGCUGACAGCAGGAGCUGACUCCAGGCACUCAGGUGGUGCUAAGUGCUGAGUUUUACGGCCUGAUUGGUACUUCCAUCAUGGAGUCAGUUGUGCUAAGGUCUGGGGCUCUGUUACACUAAUCACCUCCCUUUUGAUGAAAUUACAUCAGUCGUUACCCCAAACAGCAAAAUAAAGAGCAACUGCUUGACUUCA
Molecule: long non-coding RNA, 551 nt
Organism: Peromyscus maniculatus bairdii (prairie deer mouse)
Lineage: Eukaryota; Metazoa; Chordata; Mammalia; Rodentia; Cricetidae
Source: RefSeq, a predicted model, not a curated record